Molecule: microRNA precursor, 108 nt
Filed under: Pelobates cultripes (western spadefoot toad)
Lineage: Eukaryota; Metazoa; Chordata; Amphibia; Anura; Pelobatidae
Source: RNAcentral
CUGUGAUCCCGGCCGGCCAUGUGUGAGCUGUGCGGCCGCACAGCGCCCCAUGGGAGCGGGGGAGCCAGGCGGCCGGCACAGCUCACACAUGGCCGGCCGGGAUCAUAA